UAAGCCCUGCUGAUUUCCUGAGCCAGAUACCAUGUGGGCUCCUCUUUCUGGGGCAGGUCUCCAGGGCAGGGGUGCCUCCGUGGGGCUCGAACUCCUGGCGCCUCAGGGAGGACCACCAGGUAAAUACCUAGAAGUGGAAUCAUUGGGUCAUAUGAUUCCUAACUUGCUGAGAAAUCGUCAAGCAGUUUUCAGAAGUGGUUGUCCCAUUUUACGUUUCCACCAAACGUGGAUGAGAGUUGCAGUUGCUCCACAUUCUCCCAACAACAUGUAAUGGCAGAAGAGAAAGCUAUAAAGACAACCAAAAUGACCAAGAUUUUCGGAAUUGUAUUGAAUGUGGAUUGACCCAAAUUAACUGAAAAUCCACAUUUUAUGUGGCAAGGCUUGAGUGAGAUAUCAGUAAUGAGUUGCAAUGUAUUAAGUUACUACUAUGUGCCAGGUGCCAAACAGAGGCAUAAA
Long non-coding RNA from Suricata suricatta (meerkat), 456 nucleotides. RefSeq lists it as uncharacterized. The transcript has 3 exons. The record is from RefSeq and is a predicted model, not a curated record. Lineage: Eukaryota; Metazoa; Chordata; Mammalia; Carnivora; Herpestidae.